Molecule: unclassified non-coding RNA, 404 nt
Filed under: Hevea brasiliensis (rubber tree)
Lineage: Eukaryota; Viridiplantae; Streptophyta; Magnoliopsida; Malpighiales; Euphorbiaceae
Source: RNAcentral
GGGGCUCAGAGGGUGAUGGAGAUGGUUUAGGUGGUGAUGGAGAUGGUUUAGGUCUUGAUGGAGCUGGACUUGAAGAAUAUGUAGCUUCUUUGGAUGGAGAUUGUGGCAGGCAAGAGGAAAAAGGAAGAUGCUUCUGGAAUAUGGGAAGAUAUAGGUACAUAAUUUCUGUAACUCUUUGAACUACUAGACACAUCAUAUAUUCUUUCCACUGAGUUAACAUAUGUGGAUCCAUUGUUUGCUGAAUUACUUGACCUUGAACUGAAUAUUGCCCAGAAAUCCCAUGAAGUGUUUACAUAAAAUGUUUCAUCAUCAUCUUCAACACAACAAAGAACACACCGCAGGAUUUCAAGAAACAAAGACAUGUAGGCCUUUUGAGACUCUCCAAACCGUGAGAAAUGAAAGAG